RNAcentral lists this ribosomal RNA (377 nucleotides) under uncultured bacterium. Its description in RNAcentral is "bacterial SSU rRNA". It matches the Rfam family "Bacterial small subunit ribosomal RNA", at positions 523 to 898 of the family's 1533-position model. The record is from RNAcentral.
AUACGUAGGGGGCGAGCGUUGUCCGGAAUUACUGGGCGUAAAGGGCGCGUAGGCGGCCUUUUAAGUCAGAUGUGAAACCCCCGGGCUUAACCCGGGGAUGGCAUUUGAAACUGGGAGGCUUGAGUGCAGGAGAGGAAAGUGGAAUUCCUAGUGUAGCGGUGAAAUGCGUAGAGAUUAGGAGGAACACCAGUGGCGAAGGCGACUUUCUGGACUGUAACUGACGCUGAGGCGCGAAAGCGUGGGGAGCAAACAGGAUUAGAUACCCUGGUAGUCCACGCCGUAAACGAUGGAUACUAGGUGUAGGAGGUAUCGACCCCUUCUGUGCCGGAGUAAACACAAUAAGUAUCCCGCCUGGGGAGUACGGCCGCAAGGUUGAA